UACGUAGGUGGCAAGCGUUGUCCGGAUUUACUGGGCGUAAAGCGAACGCAGGCGGGUUGUUAAGUAGGAAGUGAAAGGUUGGAGCUCAACUCUGACACUGCUCCCUAUACUGGCAAUCUUGAGUUCUGGAGAGGAAAGCGGAACGACACGUGUAGCGGUGAAAUGCGUUGAUAUGUGUCGGAACACCGAUGGCGAAAGCAGCUUUCUGGACAGCAACUGACGCUGAGGUUCGAAAGCCAAGGGAGCGAACAGG
RNAcentral lists this ribosomal RNA (253 nucleotides) under uncultured bacterium. RNAcentral's name for it is "partial 16S ribosomal RNA". It matches the Rfam family "Bacterial small subunit ribosomal RNA", at positions 524 to 776 of the family's 1533-position model. The record is from RNAcentral.